GAUAUUCUAGUUUCAACAAACACUUUUCAAGCUUAAAACCGAUGAUAAUUUUUCUGUAGCUUCCUAACUAGUGGCGCUUUUUUAGAUCAGCUAAAUGAGCCGAUUAAUCUGACCACCGGUCAUUUGGUUUCUUUAAGUUCUACCGUUGAGUUUUGUCUUUGUCUUCAAGUCAGAAAUGCUCUUUUUUGUCUCUUUUUAAUUACACUACAGAAAAUGGCCGUCGUUAAUUUUUACCAGGCUCAAUAUAUUAUAAUUCAAUACCGCCGAGCAAAAACUACUAUAAACUGGGCAUUACUAAGAAGCGGUAUCCAAGCCGACGAGCCGACAGAUUACAAAUGGACCUUCGAGAAAGUGUUUCAAGCUUACAAUUCGUUUUGUCUUGGCUUCGAAAAGGGUUGUGAUGCUUUGCAAAUUCCUAUCAAUCAGGAACUUAUUGAUCGAAGAAACGUUGAUGCGAUUCAGUUCCGAACUAAAUAUGGAUGCCCAGCCCCUGAUGACGAUUGGACAAAAGCUCAGCUCGAUAAAGAAAUAAAACAAUUCCAGUUACUAGAAAGACAAUCUGCAAGGCGAAAAUCAAUAUUGCAAGAAAAGGAAAAAGAAAAACAGUAAAUUGAACCGAAAUAUUUCCUUGGAACAUUAAUUUUUAUUCUCUUACUGUUUUGUGUAACAUUCAAAUAUCGAACGAUAAAUUCGUAAUAAUAAGACGUAGAAAAAUUGAUGAAAUAAAUAGAGAGUGUUCAACGAACAAAUCGCAGA
Molecule: long non-coding RNA, 756 nt
Organism: Panonychus citri (citrus red mite)
Lineage: Eukaryota; Metazoa; Arthropoda; Arachnida; Trombidiformes; Tetranychidae
Exons: 2
Source: RefSeq, a predicted model, not a curated record